AUUUUUGGGAGCUUGCUCCCAAAAGUUAUCCCCGGACGGGUGAGUAACACGUGGGCAACCUGCCUAUAAGACUGGGAUAACUUCGGGAAACCGGAGCUAAUACCGGAUAAUUCAUAUCUACUCAUGUAGGUAUGCUGAAAGACGGUUUACGCUGUCACUUAUAGAUGGGCCCGCGGCGCAUUAGCUAGUUGGUGAGGUAACGGCUCACCAAGGCGACGAUGCGUAGCCGACCUGAGAGGGUGAUCGGCCACACUGGGACUGAGACACGGCCCAGACUCCUACGGGAGGCAGCAGUGGG
This 298-nucleotide unclassified non-coding RNA is filed under the name uncultured bacterium. RNAcentral's name for it is "partial contains 16S ribosomal RNA and 16S-23S ribosomal RNA intergenic spacer region". It matches the Rfam family "Bacterial small subunit ribosomal RNA", at positions 68 to 358 of the family's 1533-position model. The record is from RNAcentral.